UGCAGGCAGAAAUAAACGCGCUGCAACAAACGCCGUCCGUGUCAGCCGAAAACUACAACCCCGAACCUGCAGAACCAGCAACACCCGAAAAUAUGCAGGCCAGCGGCUAUGCGUUGGCGGGCGAACGUGAAAAUGGAUUUCAAGAAGAGCCGGAAAGUCACGGCGCAGUUGGAUAUUCGUUUGA
This is a long non-coding RNA of Rhipicephalus microplus (southern cattle tick), 184 nucleotides long. The record is from RefSeq and is a predicted model, not a curated record. NCBI's taxonomy places the organism in Eukaryota, Metazoa, Arthropoda, Arachnida, Ixodida, Ixodidae.